GGAGGGGGGGCCAGCGUUGUUCGGAAUUAUUGGGCGUAAAGGGCGCGUAGGCGGGCCUGGUAAGUCAGACGUGAAAUCCCGCGGGCUCAACCGCGGAACUGCGUUUGAUACUGCCGGGCUUGAGUCCCGGAGAGGGUAGCGGAAUUCCCAGUGUAGCGGUGAAAUGCGUAGAUAUUGGGAGGAACACCAGUGGCGAAGGCGGCUACCUGGACGGGUACUGACGCUGAGGCGCGAAAGCGUGGGGAGCAAACAGGAUUAGAUACCCUGGUAGUCCACGCCGUAAACGAUGGGCACUUGGUGUUGCGGGUAUCGACCCCUGCAGUGCCGAAGCUAACGCAUUAAGUGCCCCGCCUGGGGAGUACGGUCGCAAAGGCUG
RNAcentral lists this ribosomal RNA (376 nucleotides) under uncultured organism. Its description in RNAcentral is "partial 16S ribosomal RNA". It matches the Rfam family "Bacterial small subunit ribosomal RNA", at positions 525 to 896 of the family's 1533-position model. The record is from RNAcentral.